UGUCUAAUACAGGCAAGUCGAGCGAACAGACGAGGAGCUUGCUCCUCUGACGUUAGCGGCGGACGGGUGAGUAACACGUGGAUAACCUACCUAUAAGACUGGGAUAACUUCGGGAAACCGGAGCUAAUACCGGAUAAUAUAUUGAACCGCAUGGUUCAAUAGUGAAAGACGGUUUUGCUGUCACUUAUAGAUGGAUCCGCGCCGCAUUAGCUAGUUGGUAAGGUAACGGCUUACCAAGGCAACGAUGCGUAGCCGACCUGAGAGGGUGAUCGGCCACACUGGAACUGAGACACGGUCCAGACUCCUACGGGAGGCAGCAGUAGGGAAUCUUCCGCAAUGGGCGAAAGCCUGACGGAGCAACGCCGCGUGAGUGAUGAAGGUCUUCGGAUCGUAAAACUCUGUUAUUAGGGAAGAACAAAUGUGUAAGUAACUAUGCACGUCUUGACGGUACCUAAUCAGAAAGCCACGGCUAACUACGUGCCAGCAGCCGCGGUAAUACGUAGGUGGCAAGCGUUAUCCGGAAUUAUUGGGCGUAAAGCGCGCGUAGGCGGUUUUUUAAGUCUGAUGUGAAAGCCCACGGCUCAACCGUGGAGGGUCAUUGGAAACUGGAAAACUUGAGUGCAGAAGAGGAAAGUGGAAUUCCAUGUGUAGCGGUGAAAUGCGCAGAGAUAUGGAGGAACACCAGUGGCGAAGGCGACUUUCUGGUCUGUAACUGACGCUGAUGUGCGAAAGCGUGGGGAUCAAACAGGAUUAGAUACCCUGGUAGUCCACGCCGUAAACGAUGAGUGCUAAGUGUUAGGGGGUUUCCGCCCCUUAGUGCUGCAGCUAACGCAUUAAGCACUCCGCCUGGGGAGUACGACCGCAAGGUUGAAACUCAAAGGAAUUGACGGGGACCCGCACAAGCGGUGGAGCAUGUGGUUUAAUUCGAAGCAACGCGAAGAACCUUACCAAAUCUUGACAUCCUCUGACCCCUCUAGAGAUAGAGUUUUCCCCUUCGGGGGACAGAGUGACAGGUGGUGCAUGGUUGUCGUCAGCUCGUGUCGUGAGAUGUUGGGUUAAGUCCCGCAACGAGCGCAACCCUUAAGCUUAGUUGCCAUCAUUAAGUUGGGCACUCUAAGUUGACUGCCGGUGACAAACCGGAGGAAGGUGGGGAUGACGUCAAAUCAUCAUGCCCCUUAUGAUUUGGGCUACACACGUGCUACAAUGGACAAUACAAAGGG
RNAcentral lists this ribosomal RNA (1220 nucleotides) under Staphylococcus sp. RNAcentral's name for it is "bacterial SSU rRNA". It matches the Rfam family "Bacterial small subunit ribosomal RNA", at positions 45 to 1246 of the family's 1533-position model. The record is from RNAcentral. Lineage: Bacteria; Bacillati; Bacillota; Bacilli; Caryophanales; Staphylococcaceae.